UGGUUUCUGACGUUUCAUUGUUUCAGAAUCAUAAGAGCUGGUUGGUCCUGAUGGGGGAUGAUCUGAAACUGUGAGGGCCAGGGACCAGUCUGCUCCAGGACAAAGAAGUUCAGAGGUGCUUGGGAUAAACAUGCUGGAGUCUGAGUAAAUACAAGAAAGAAAGGAUUUCUGUAAUUCCAACAUGAAUUUGAAAUUUCAUCUA
This is a long non-coding RNA of Peromyscus eremicus (cactus mouse), 202 nucleotides long. RefSeq lists it as uncharacterized. The record is from RefSeq and is a predicted model, not a curated record. Lineage: Eukaryota; Metazoa; Chordata; Mammalia; Rodentia; Cricetidae. The transcript is spliced from 3 exons.